RNAcentral lists this transfer RNA (73 nucleotides) under Camelus bactrianus (Bactrian camel). It matches the Rfam family "tRNA". Rfam says of the family: Transfer RNA (tRNA) molecules are approximately 80 nucleotides in length. Lineage: Eukaryota; Metazoa; Chordata; Mammalia; Artiodactyla; Camelidae. The record is from Rfam by way of RNAcentral. RNAcentral also lists the same sequence under 2 other names.
GAAGGUAUAGCUCAAGUGGUAGAGUACAUGCUUAGCAUGCACGAGGUCCUGGGUUCAAUCCCCAGUACCUCCU